CUCCAUCUGUCGGAGGCCCACGCCAUCCUGUAAAGCGCGGGAGAGGGAGGAUUUCCUUGUCCUUCUGGUACAUUAUACCAGGGGAAAUGGUAGAAACAAUCACCUACUUCAGAUCUCAUCUCUCUCCCCAGACAGCUCAGUUCUACCUAAUGUCCUGAGAGGAGACAGAAGAGUGCAUCCUAUUCACAUCAGUCACUCAGAUCAUUGUGAACAAGCCCCCCGUGUUCAGGCUCUCUGUCUGUGUGGAGCAGGGAUGGGAUCGUACAGUUAGCCUGAGGACAUAUCCAUGUAUUCACAGCUAGAUCACCAACUAUCAACCACCUCUAACACUAAACCUGUCAGAAACACACACACACACACACACACACACACACACACACACACACACACACACACACACACACACACACACACACACACACACACACACACACAAACACACACUACAAGAAUAUUGCGGGAUUUUUUUCUGCAAUCCACUACAAUUAACAGGAAGUAGAGAUACAUUGGUGCAGCUGAAAAAAAGGAAGCAUACAAUUCUAAUCUGAUUAUU
Oncorhynchus masou masou (cherry salmon) is the source of this 553-nucleotide long non-coding RNA. RefSeq lists it as uncharacterized. The transcript is spliced from 3 exons. The record is from RefSeq and is a predicted model, not a curated record. Lineage: Eukaryota; Metazoa; Chordata; Actinopteri; Salmoniformes; Salmonidae.